UGGCGGCGUGCUUACACAUGCAAGUCGAACGGUGACGGAGAGCUUGCUCUUCUGAUCAGUGGCGAACGGGUGAGUAACACGUGAGCAACCUACCCUUGACUCUGGGAUAACAGUUGGAAACAGCUGCUAAUACCGGAUAUGACCUCGCUGGGCAUCCAGUGAGGUGGAAAGCUCCGACGGUCAAGGAUGGGCUCGCGGCCUAUCAGCUUGUUGGUGGGGUAAUGGCCUACCAAGGCAGCGACGGGUAGCCGGCCUGAGAGGGCGACCGGCCACACUGGGACUGAGAUACGGCCCAGACUCCUACGGGAGGCAGCAGUGGGGAAUAUUGCACAAUGGGCGCAAGCCUGAUGCAGCAACGCCGCGUGCGGGAUGACGGCCUUCGGGUUGUAAACCGCUUUCAGCAGGGACGAAGGGUUUCUGACGGUACCUGCAGAAGAAGCACCGGCUAACUACGUGCCAGCAGCCGCGGUGAUACGUAGGGUGCGAGCGUUGUCCGGAAUUAUUGGGCGUAAAGAGCUCGUAGGCGGUCUGUUGCGUCGGAAGUGAAAACUCAGGGCUUAACCCUGAGCCUGCUUUCGAUACGGGCAGACUAGAGGAAGGUAGGGGAGAACGGAAUUCCUGGUGGAGCGGUGGAAUGCGCAGAUAUCAGGAGGAACACCGGUGGCGAAGGCGGUUCUCUGGACCUUUCCUGACGCUGAGGAGCGAAAGCGUGGGGAGCAAACAGGCUUAGAUACCCUGGUAGUCCACGCCGUAAACGGUGGGCACUAGGUGUGGGGGACAUUCCACGUUCUCCGUGCCGUAGCUAACGCAUUAAGUGCCCCGCCUGGGGAGUACGGCCGCAAGGCUAAAACUCAAAGGAAUUGACGGGGGCCCGCACAAGCGGCGGAGCAUGCGGAUUAAUUCGAUGCAACGCGAAGAACCUUACCUGGGUUUGACAUAUGCCGGAAACAUCUGGAGACAGGUGCCCCGCAAGGUCGGUAUACAGGUGGUGCAUGGCUGUCGUCAGCUCGUGUCGUGAGAUGUUGGGUUAAGUCCCGCAACGAGCGCAACCCUCGUUCUAUGUUGCCAGCGGUUCGGCCGGGGACUCAUAGAAGACUGCCGGGGUCAACUCGGAGGAAGG
Molecule: ribosomal RNA, 1120 nt
Filed under: uncultured bacterium
Lineage: Bacteria
Description: bacterial SSU rRNA
Rfam family: Bacterial small subunit ribosomal RNA
Source: RNAcentral